UACGUAGGAGGCGAGCGUUGUCCGGAAUUACUGGGCGUAAAGAGCGCGUAGGCGGCACGGUACGACCGGUGUGAAAGCCCCCGGCUCAACUGGGGAGGGUCACCGGUAACGGCCGAGCUAUGAGUGCAGGAGAGGGAAGUGGAACUCCGGGAGUAGCGGUGAAAUGCGUAGAGACCCGGAGGAACACCAGUGGCGAAGGCGGCUUCCUGGUCUGCGACUGACGCUGUGGCGCGAAAGCUAGGGGAGCAAACGGG
Molecule: ribosomal RNA, 254 nt
Filed under: uncultured bacterium
Lineage: Bacteria
Description: partial 16S ribosomal RNA
Rfam family: Bacterial small subunit ribosomal RNA
Source: RNAcentral